RNAcentral lists this long non-coding RNA (1396 nucleotides) under Mus spicilegus (steppe mouse). RNAcentral's name for it is "lncRNA (ENSMSIG00000024402.1)". Lineage: Eukaryota; Metazoa; Chordata; Mammalia; Rodentia; Muridae. The record is from RNAcentral.
GGAAAGGAUGCUCUUGUAAAUCAUUAUUAUUUUAUGUUCCUAAAAAGAAUAUGCGAAUGUUUGCAGCAGGGAAAAUGCAGACAAGCACUCGGAGUUCUCCACGGAAAUGAUGAUGCAGGCCCCUGGAAAAUGCCGACUGUCUUCUCCUCUGUCCAGCCUGCCCGUCUAGCCAUGCUUUUUAGGAUCAGCUUAAAAGACCGGCAAGAAACAGAAGGCCUUCCACAGUUCAUACCAAGUGCAAUCCUCCAAUUUCUUCCUCUGUCUUACCUGCUGUCUGCUGGCCUCCACAUACACUUCACCGGGAUCAUGUCUGCAAGUAAAGGCUCCUCUUCAGCUUGACUGUGGACAUAUCCUUACACCCCACCUCUCAGAACUUCUUUGUAAAAAUGUAUAUUCUAAUGAAGUUGUGAAACAAGAGCUUAUGGAAUCAGAACACUGAUGUCUACAGCUUUCAUUACUUCAGUAGUUACACCAGAGAGAAAGAUCACUCCCAAUGUGCAGCCAGGCCGAGAUGGCUAUUCUUCAUUUUGCCUUCAUCUUUGAAGACCUGGAAACUUCUUUUUGUCCUCACAAUGACAUUGGCUGGGCAAAUGCAUACAGAUGGCAAUGUCCUGUGCUAGGUAUAGCUGCUCUCUAUCCCCUCACAUUAAAGAGGCAGAAGGGACCAGCAGCUUCCUGCCACAUAGAACGUGGGAAGAGGAGAAAGGACAUAAAGUUCUAGUAAUGCCCCUGCUGCAGAGAAUGUGGAACUUCAUGCAGAAGGAAAAAGUCAGGCUGAUGGAAUCCCAUCUGUACAAAUUAAGAUCUCUUUUGUGAGAAAAGAAGUUUUGGUAUAACUCGUGAUCUGGGCUUUACACUUUUAAUUUCGGGAAACAAGCAAACCUAUUUGUAUCUUAACUAAAACUGUGUUUAAAAGCUGCCAUGAAAGCCCUUGUACUUGAGGAAGAAAGAAGAUACAGUUCUUAGAGGACCCUGGUUAGAGUCUCCUCCAGCAUUCUGUGUUCAAUAGACCUGUCUAUCCUGUGUUUUGGCAACCAACCAAAGACCAGAUGCAAAGUAAAGAUGCUAGGAAGAGGGACUAGCCACUGAGGAAACAAUUCCAUCAGAUUGGCCUGUGGGCUUGUCAGCAGGCAUUUUCUUGAUUAAUGAUCAAUGUGGAAGGGUCAACUCCACUGUGGGUGGUGCCACCUGCAUGCAGGUGGUCCUGGAGUAUAUAAGAACACAGGGUGAGCAAGCAUAAGAAGCAGGCUUGUGAGCAGCACUCCUCCAUAGUCUGCUUCAGCUCCUGCCUCCAGGUUCCUGUUUAAGUCCCUGUCCUGACUACUUUCAGUAAUGAACUGUGAUACAUAACUGUACCAUGAAAUAAACCCUUUCCUCUCCUAGUUGGCUUUGGUCA